RNAcentral lists this long non-coding RNA (210 nucleotides) under Actinidia chinensis (golden kiwifruit). RNAcentral describes it as "long non-coding RNA (ACHI_LNC000491)". The record is from RNAcentral. Lineage: Eukaryota; Viridiplantae; Streptophyta; Magnoliopsida; Ericales; Actinidiaceae.
CAGGGAAGAGCUGCAACAAGUUGCCAACUCUGUCCGAGGUGGACGCCAAGAGGAUGGAAACGGUCCUCGGGAAGAUAGAGCCCGGAGGUUACUUCGAGGUGUCGAAGGUACUGGGUUCGCGGACCUUCCAGAAACACUUUGCGGCUGGUUGCACGGCGCUCUCUACCAGUGGCGGAGACAACACGACCUCGGGUGACGAGGGUGAGUUCG